RNAcentral lists this ribosomal RNA (468 nucleotides) under uncultured bacterium. RNAcentral describes it as "partial 16S ribosomal RNA". It matches the Rfam family "Bacterial small subunit ribosomal RNA", at positions 28 to 507 of the family's 1533-position model. The record is from RNAcentral.
GACGAACGCUGGCGGCGUGCUUAACACAUGCAAGUCGAACGGAAAGGCCCUGCUUUUGUGGGGUGCUCGAGUGGCGAACGGGUGAGUAACACGUGAGUAACCUGCCCUUGACUUUGGGAUAACUUCAGGAAACUGGGGCUAAUACCGGAUAGGAUCUCCUGCUGCAUGGUGGUGGUUGGAAAGUUUCGGCGGUUGGGUAUGGACUCGCGGCUUAUCAGCUUGUUGGUGGGGUAGUGGCUUACCAAGGCUUUGACGGGUAGCCGGCCUGAGAGGGUGACCGGCCACAUUGGGACUGAGAUACGGCCCAGACUCCUACGGGAGGCAGAAGUGGGGAAUAUUGCACAAUGGGCGGAAGCCUGAUGCAGCAACGCCGCGUGCGGGAUGACGGCCUUAGGGUUGUAAACCGCUUUCGCCUGUGACGAAGCGUGAGUGACGGUAAUGGGUAAAGAAGCACCGGCUAACUACGUG